UUUAAUGCCGUUAAUCGGGCCAGGGGUAACAACCAGUGAAGAAAGGGCCGGGCAAGACCGGUGCCAGCCGCCGCGGUAAUACCGGCGGCUCGAGUGGUGGCCACUAUUACUGGGCUUAAAGCGUUCGUAGCUGGUUUGUUAAGUCUCUGGGGAAAUCUUCCGGCUUAACCGGAAGGCGUCUCAGGGAUACUGGCAGACUAGGGACCGGGAGAGGUGAGGGGUACUCCAGGGGUAGGAGUGAAAUCCUGUAAUCCUUGGGAGGACCACCUGUGGCGAAGGCGCCUCACCAGAACGGCUCCGACAGUGAGGGACGAAAGCUGGGGGAGCAAACCGGAUUAGAUACCCGGGUAGUCCCAGCUGUAAACGAUGCGCGUUAGGUGUAUCGGUGACCACGAGUCACCGAGGUGCCGAAGAGAAAUCGUGAAACGUGCCGCCUGGGAAGUACGGUCGCAAGGCUGAAACUUAAAGGAAUUGGCGGGGGAGCACCACAACAGGUGGAGCCUGCGGUUUAAUCGGACUCAACGCCGGGAAACUCACCAGUUAAGACAGCUGAAUGAUAGUCGGGCUGAAGACUCUACUUGACUAGCUGAGAGGAGGUGCAUGGCCGUCGUCAGUUCGUACUGUGAAGCAUCCUGUUAAGUCAGGCAACGAGCGAGACCCACGCCAACAGUUGCUAGCUCGUCCUCCGGGAUGGAGAGGACACUGUUGGGACCGCCUCUGCUAAAGAGGAGGAAGGAAUGGGCAACGGUAGGUCAGCAUGCCCCGAAUUAACUGGGCUACACGCGGGCUACAAUGGGUGGGCCAAUGGGUAUCGACACCGAAAGGUGAAGGCAUCUCCUAAACCCAUCCGUAGUUCGGAUUGUGGGAUCUAUCGGCCACAUGAAGCUG
RNAcentral lists this ribosomal RNA (888 nucleotides) under uncultured Methanomicrobia archaeon. Its description in RNAcentral is "bacterial SSU rRNA". It matches the Rfam family "Archaeal small subunit ribosomal RNA", at positions 394 to 1284 of the family's 1478-position model. Lineage: Archaea; Methanobacteriati; Methanobacteriota; Methanomicrobia. The record is from RNAcentral.